CAGGCAGGGACAGCUCCUGGGACAGCCAUGCUCUGUCUUUGUCCCUCCAAGUCACAUCCUCAACCCCAGGCCUGGGGUCAGAACUGGCCAGUUUUCCUUCCCUGUGGGAGUCUCAGGGAGGCCCCUGCUGCUUCUCCUGCUGCCCCCUACCACCUGCCACCGUCCCAUCCCUGGCCUGUGUUCUUCCCCCCUCCUCCUCUGGGCGCGGGGCAGUUCAGCCGAUAGCCAGGUAGGAAAGGAGAUGUCAGUCUCCACUUGUUGCACUGCCCCUAAAUUUCUAGAAGCUUCUCUCUGGGGGUCCUUCUUCCUUGCCUUAUUUCAGGGGAACUGACUCCCGUAGGAUGGUGAGGGGAAAGGACAGCUCAGGGUCUUCACCACCUCAUGAAAGUGGCUUAAUCAAGAGCCUGGUGUGGGCAGCUUUGGGUUCUGCCCAGAUGGGGCCAGCAGCAAGUGGAGGAUGGACAGGCUCUGCACAGGGCUGUGGGGUUGGACCCCAGAACUCCACAGGGGACAGAACACGGUGUCUGUGUUGGUUUGCUAGGGCUGCUGUAACAGUAAGCGAGGUGGCUUAACAGAAGUCCCUUUUCUCACUGUUCUGGAGGUUGGGGGUCUGAAGUCAAAACGUUGGCAGGGUCGGUUCCUUCUGAGGGGUAUGAGGAAGGAUCUGUCCCGUGCCUCUUCCCUGCCUUCUGGUGAUUGGCAGGCAGCCUUAGCUAUUCCUGGGUGGGACAUGCCUCACAUCGCUCUCUGCCCUAAGGUUGCCCUAAGGUGUGUUGACUGCACCCAAACCUCCCUGUCCUAGGGAUGCCAUACUGAAUUAGGACCCACCUUGAUGAUCCCAUUUUAAUCUAACUUAUUAUAUCUGCAAUGACCCUGUUUUAAAAUAAAGUCACAUACUGAGGUACUGGGGUUAGGACUCCAACAUAUGAUUGGGGGGAUAUAAGUUAACCCCUAUUGGUACCCUAUCAGCUACAGGAGUGACUGUGGCAACUUAAGUCAAGGAGAUGCUGAAAUUUGAGUCCUGUCCUUCUCUGUGCCUAUAUCCCACCCCCCAGAUGGGGUUAACAGUGUCAACUUGCAGGGUUCGUGUGGGGAUUCCAUAGGGGACAUUUGGGAGUGCGCUGGGCUCCUGCUGGCCACUGACUCUGUCUGGGCAGUGACUUCAUCUGGAUUAGGGGCAUCCCCUGAGCUGGCCUCCUGGGAAACCGUGUAUUACUGGAAAAGCAGAAGCAACAGUAGAGAAAAACUUCUCAUCACCUUUCUCACUUCCCCUUUGGCCAGGAAUUUGGAAGCUCCUGUCAAUAUAGAGUUCAAGUUCCUCAAAAGCUCUGGGCUGAAGCACUUGCCUCCUGUGGGUGUUUGGACAAGUGCUAUCUUCAUUGGACCUGCUGGGGCAUCUUGGGCACGUCUGACUUGGGGUUCCCUUUGCCACAUCAUUCUGAGAUUGGCCUUCCCACCAGUCUCCACCUAAAUCCCUCCGCUCCCAGGGAGGGAGGGCAGGCCAACCUAGAAACACCUGUGGCUGGACUACCCCUUGGUAGCUUUUCUUCUUCCAGCAAGUGGGCCCCUUGACCCCUUUCUUAGGUCCACUCUAGAUAUUAACCAGCAGUGUGGGCUUUGCAAUUUUCAUAGGUACUUGAUUCUAGGCUCAAUCCCAUUCCCCAGGGACUGGGCUGAUGCCAUACUUUAUUGGACCAAAUCAUAUCUUAAGAAGCUCUGUCUGUCCGUGAUAACAAUAGAGAUUCAGAGGGUACAAAAGGGUGAAAAUAACUUUCCUCUGCCCCUGGCCCUGGUCUUCCAGCUCCCUUCCCCAGAUGUAGUGUCCUUCUCAUUCUUCCAGAAGUACUUUGUGACCACAGAAGCAAAUGGACAUGACAACCCAAGCCUUCUCCAUCUUGCUUUUUGCACUUUACUGCAGAGCUUGGGGAUGGCUCCAUGUCGGCCCGGGCAGAUCUGGCUCACCCAUUUGAAUGACUGGAAGCAUUUCACAGCUUAUUUUAAUCAGUCUGCUUUUGAUGGACAUUUGCAUGAGUUGCUUUCUUGCUUUGACAAACCUCACUCCAAAGUAUCACCGUGAGAUUGUCUUCAUGCGAAUGAAGACAAUCUGCGGGAGUUAUUCUGAGAAGCAAAUGUUCUGGGUGACAGGAUAUUGGCAAUAACCAUUUUUUGCUGGAUUUUUGAUAGAUUGCUUUCAAAUAAGACGAAUCCGUUUCCAUCUGUUUUGUUAUGGAAAGGGCUGAGGUCCUCUGUGGAACGGAGGCAGGAACUGAAACACAAGUCUCAUCUGUAGCCCAACACAUGUCCACUCCUUAUGAUGGACCCAGCCUGAUUCCAUCUUAAGGUUGGGAGCCAUCUCAUCACAAUGUCAUGAAAAGUUCAUUUCUGUUUUACUGUAAAAUAAUAAGAUUUCUAUUUGGCCUGACCAUAAUUUGAUGUUUAAAAAAAAAAAAAACUUGCUUGGGAUUCUUGCCUGGCUUUGAACUUGCCCGUGCCCGGCUGUCCCUGACGAGAUAACAACCCUCCCUGGAAUCCAGCUGCUCCUCCUUGACUUUGAUGUUAGGAUCUGAGUUUGCCCCUACCUUGAGAUGUUAACAAUGUAGAUCAUAAACCUGCUAACUGCCCUAGUAUUACACUUGACAGAACCCUGUCAACUGUCAGUUCCCAAGACACCCUCCUAUUUGUAACUUUUUGUGUUAUAAAAACUUCUCUGUCACCAGACCAGUUGCUGUUCUUGGCCCUGUUUUUCCAGGUGAGGCAGCUGCCAUCCAGCUUUUGUGCACAUGAUAUAAGCUUGCUUUAGUUUCGUUUAAACUGGACUUGGUGGUCUUUUUUUUUGCAUCAUGGUUCAACAUUUGGAGGCCCCAGUGAGAUUCAGACCACCAAAAUUCUGAAGCUGAACAUUCGCUCUGGGACUCCAGGGCCUGAGCGCUGCCCCAGGGUUUGCGCACCUUGAGAUGUUCCCAGGCCCUGGGGUGUGCCUUUGGUUCAUCAGAUUGCUGGAGUGAAUUGUUGCACU
This 3016-nucleotide long non-coding RNA is filed under the name Marmota monax (woodchuck). The record is from RNAcentral. Lineage: Eukaryota; Metazoa; Chordata; Mammalia; Rodentia; Sciuridae.